RNAcentral lists this long non-coding RNA (3896 nucleotides) under Homo sapiens (human). Its description in RNAcentral is "HSALNT0202475". The record is from RNAcentral. Lineage: Eukaryota; Metazoa; Chordata; Mammalia; Primates; Hominidae.
UUCAAUUUUUAUAAAUAUGCUAAGAAUGUUAAUACACGUAUUUAAGUCAUUCUAAUAUUUACUAAUGUUUUUGUUGCACAUCUAAACUCUAAAAACAUCUUUAAAAUGUCUAAGGUCUAUCAUGAAUUCCAAUUAAUUACUACUGUGCUAUCCUUGCUUUUUCUAUCAGAAAAUUUUCAUUUGGUAUCAUUUUCUCCUUCCUGUUGUAGUACAACAUUUUGAAUUCCCAUGCAUGAAGGUUUGUUGGAGGCCAGCCCUACUUUUGUUUUAAAACUAUUCUUGAUUUCUCGUAAUUCUUAAAUAAUAUAAUUAAGUAUAACAUUCUAGAUAAACAGCAUGCUUUUACUUUUCCACAAGUUUACAAAAUCACUCCACUGACUUUGAUUGUUGCUCUUAAAAUUACAUGUAUUAUUUUUGCAUUUUUGCAGUUAAACAGGCAUUGGUUUCCGCUAUUUUUAUGAUUAUCAGUUUGUCUCGUGUUAUAAGCCAUUACCUUGAUAUCUCUAGGUCUGAAGUUUUUUUAUUAAUAUUACUUAGAUUUAACUGGCUAUGUGACUAUGUAAACUGUUGUACUUUAUUACUUCUGAAAAACUCUUGGUGAAUGCAUCUCUUAAUGAUAUAUCUGAAUAAUUAAUGUUUUUGUCCUUCUACAACCCCAUUUCUCAUUUUAUCCUCUCCUCCAGGUCUCUUAAGAGCUUGUUCAUAUUUUCAUUUACUUAAAAAAAAAAAUCUCUGAUGCAUCCUGCAUAAUUUCUGUAGACUUAUCUAAUGGUUUACUAUUAUCUCCCAAUAUAUCAACUUGUAGUUAAACUGAUACAUUAAAUUUUACAUGUCUAUUACUUUAUUUUAUUUAUAAAGCCUAUUUUAGUUAUUUUGAAAAUUGUUACUUGUGUGUUCAAGUUCCUAUUAUUUCUGAACCAUUUGAAUUAUGUGUCUGGCAAUUCCUUUAUCUGAAGUCUUUUUCAAAUAUUCCUUUGCUGUUUGCUGCUGGUUAUUUUGUAAUUUUGUAAUUAUGUAUAUUUUGUAAUUUUUAUUUGUGUGUGUAUGUGUGUUUGUGCAUGUGUGUAUGUGUGCGUGUGUGUGUGAGAGAGAGAGAUUAAUUUCUUAAUUUCCCUAGAACUUUAUAUAUUGGUAAUUUGUGAGUCCUAAGAUUCAUGAGACAUCAUCCUGAGAAAAUCUGUAUUUAUUCUGUUAUACUAUUUAUCAAGACACUAAAGUUCUAGGACCAUUUUUAACAAAAGUAUCAGUUCAAUGGUUUUCAGAACAUACAAUGUGAUGCUUAUUUCUAGUUCCCACUGCACUGAUGACGUAUCUGUCUGAAUGAGCCAGUUUAACGUGGUUGUUCUCUUAUUAAAUUUCUUUUUUCAUUUUUUUUGAUAGGCCUUGGGCUCGCCUAGAUCAUGAAAAUCAGAAUCUAUGGUUUACCUUUAUUAGGAAACACUUGGAAGGCAAAAGGAGGUUUAUAGAACUGUAGCAUGGAUGAAAUAAGUAAUACAGUGAAUGCUGUCUAAGACUUCUGUAAAAAAAAAUAUAUUUCAGCCUUGACAAAAGACCCUGAAGCUGCCUAAGUGAACUUGACCACUUGAUCAUGAAGAUCUUGAUGUUGAAUGUUAUUCAUGAGAUCAUGAAUGACAUUCCACGAAUCUUGUUCUUUGUUCAUUGAUGUAUCAGCUUAUCUCAUAGUUUGUUUUGUAUUUCUUUUCUGAAAAAUUUUUUACUAUAACAAAUGUUUAUGUAGGGAAUUGUGUCUCAAUAUUUCAAAGACUAUGCAAGUUUAUUGUGGUGAAAACUGGAUUAACUUCUAAAAGGCUGUUAGGAAGGCUGUAAAAUAUUCUGAUGCAAAUCCAACUUUCAGCUGCCUGUGAAUAAAAUUGACUGGAACUUGCUGUUUGCCUAUUUCUCUAACUUUCUAUUUACAUCACAAGUAGAUCCAUCUAGUGAAAAAGACUGGAUCAAACUGGUCAUUAGCUAACAAGAAUUUUACUUUUAAUGCAUUUAGUUAGACAUUUCUGCAAUUUUAAUAUAAAAUUCUAAAAUAAAAAUAUAAAUAUUCACUAUACUUAUUCUGAACAGAAUAAUGCAUGACAGAAACAAAGAUAACAAAAAAAAUCUUGUUUUCAAAAUAUAUUACAUUUUUAUACUAUCUACAGAUAUUAUUUGAGUGCUUUUCUUUUUUUCUAUUUAGGAAACAUCUCUUCUAGGACAAGGUCAUUACUACCAAGAGACAGCACAAUGUCUUCUAAAGCAGAAGUUCAAUUAGGGAGUUGGAUAGGAGAAUGUGCCACUCAUAGAUGAGCAACAUUCCCAGACAUUAUCCAAAGGAUGGUAUUUUUAUAUUUGUGAAUAUAGUCCAAAACCUGGGCCUAUGCAGCAUAAGACCUCUCAAGUGACCUUCCAAACGCUAGAAAAUGCCUAAGGAAAUAGUUAUUUUAUCAUCUCUUUACCUAAAAAAUCAGCAUAAUGUUAAUUUUGAUAAAGUUAACCAAAAAGCAUAAAAAUCUUGAUAGACAUGAGAUGUGUCUGCUUUUUGCCUCAAGCAAUGUGAAUAUAUUAAUCUUAAAUUUCAAUGCAAGAUAGUGAAGGCAGAACUGAAGCCCUGAUUCCAGGGUUAUUAUGGACUGCAAUUACUGAAGUUAUGUCCUCACCUAGAAAGUGAAAACAAUAAUACAUUUUCUUUGGAUCUGGCAAGGUUUCUAUGACUGUUAAACGAGAUACUAUUUCCAAAUGACAUAAGUAUUUUAAAAAUUGUUACUCAAGCAAUUACAAUUGAUCUUUGUUGACUUUGGAUUGAUAUUUAUAUCUAAGUUGCAUAAUCUGAUGUAAAAUUGUACUUUUAUGAUUAAAUCACUUUAAAAGCAUAAAUAUAUUACUAUAUCACAAAAUUUCCUACAUAAUAGAUAGUCUAACAUAUUAUUUGCUGAUAUUAUUGAAAUAAAAGACAAAGUUCUCAAAUGUUAUAGGUUUCAGAGGCAGGUAAACCAGAGCAACUCCAUCUUGAGUAGGGGCUGUGUAAAAUGAGGCUGAGACCUUCUGUGCUGCUUUCCCAUGAGGUUAAGGCAUUCUUCGUCACAGGAUAAGAUAGGAGGUCAGCACAAGACACAUGUCAUAAAGACCUUGCUGAUUAAACAGGUCACAGUAAAGAAGAUGGCUAAAACCCACCAAAACCAAGAUGGAGACGAGAGUGACCUCCAGUUGUUCUCACUGCUACACUCCCACCAGUGCCAUGACAGUUUACAAAUACCAUGGCAAAGUCAAGAAGUUACCCUAUAUGGUCUAAAAAGGGAAGGCAUGAAUAAUCUGCCCCUUGUUUAGCAUAUAAUCAUGAAAAAAAACCAUAAAAAUGUGCUACCAGCAGUCCUCAAGGCUGCUAUGUCUGUGGAGUAGCCAUUCUUUAUCCCUUUAUUUUCCUAAUAAAUUUGCUUUCACUUUACUGUAUCACCCUGAAUUAUUUUUGCGUGAGAUCCGAGAACCUCUCCUGGGGUGUGGAUCCGGACCACUGUCCAGUAACAUAAGCCUAUCACUAUUAUAACUUCUGAAUUCAUUUUAACAUUGAAACCUCGUAACAACCAUGUGAUGAUAGGUAUUCUGAAGUGAGAAUAAUUUCUUUAUUGACAUUGUAACUGUUAAGGAAAUCUUGAUCUUGCUUUCUUGAGUGUUCUUCUUAUUACAUGUUGUGAAUGCACAAUAUUCUGUAAUAGAAAAUUAUAGAUUUUCAUGCUCAAUAAAUAAUAAAGAACUUUUAGAUUAUUCAGCGGACACAAUUUAAGAUUAUUGACAUUCUCUCACAGUUACUUACUGAUACAUCAGGUCUUGUGGAUUUCACCCAGCCUACCAAGUAUAUUUCUUCCUAUCAUUUUAAUUCCUAAAUACCACUUCAUAUUUUAUUUGAAAACCCU